RNAcentral lists this transfer RNA (93 nucleotides) under Planctomycetota bacterium. RNAcentral describes it as "Planctomycetes bacterium (freshwater metagenome) tRNA-Ser". It matches the Rfam family "tRNA". Rfam says of the family: Transfer RNA (tRNA) molecules are approximately 80 nucleotides in length. Their secondary structure includes four short double-helical elements and three loops (D, anti-codon, and T loops). Further hydrogen bonds mediate the characteristic L-shaped molecular structure. tRNAs have two regions of fundamental functional importance: the anti-codon, which is responsible for specific mRNA codon recognition, and the 3' end, to which the tRNAs corresponding amino acid is attached (by aminoacyl-tRNA synthetases). tRNAs cope with the degeneracy of the genetic code in two manners: having more than one tRNA (with a specific anti-codon) for a particular amino acid; and 'wobble' base-pairing, i.e. permitting non-standard base-pairing at the 3rd anti-codon position. The record is from RNAcentral. Lineage: Bacteria; Pseudomonadati; Planctomycetota. RNAcentral also lists the same sequence under 1 other name.
GGAGAGGUGGCUGAGCGGCUUAAAGCGACGGUUUGCUAAACCGUUGUAGGGUCUAAAGCCCUACCCCGGGUUCGAAUCCCGGCCUCUCCGCCA